UGGCGGGGAGCCUACAAUGCAAGUCGAGCGGAUGACGGGAGCUUGCUCCUUGAUUCAGCGGCGGACGGGUGAGUAAUGCCUAGGAAUCUGCCUGGUAGUGGGGGACAACGUUUCGAAAGGAACGCUAAUACCGCAUACGUCCUACGGGAGAAAGCAGGGGACCUUCGGGCCUUGCGCUAUCAGAUGAGCCUAGGUCGGAUUAGCUAGUUGGUGAGGUAAUGGCUCACCAAGGCGACGAUCCGUAACUGGUCUGAGAGGAUGAUCAGUCACACUGGAACUGAGACACGGUCCAGACUCCUACGGGAGGCAGCAGUGGGGAAUAUUGGACAAUGGGCGAAAGCCUGAUCCAGCCAUGCCGCGUGUGUGAAGAAGGUCUUCGGAUUGUAAAGCACUUUAAGUUGGGAGGAAGGGCAGUAAGUUAAUACCUUGCUGUUUUGACGUUACCGACAGAAUAAGCACCGGCUAACUCUGUGCCAGCAGCCGCGGUAAUACAGAGGGUGCAAGCGUUAAUCGGAAUUACUGGGCGUAAAGCGCGCGUAGGUGGUUCGUUAAGUUGGAUGUGAAAGCCCCGGGCUCAACCUGGGAACUGCAUCCAAAACUGGCGAGCUAGAGUACGGUAGAGGGUGGUGGAAUUUCCUGUGUAGCGGUGAAAUGCGUAGAUAUAGGAAGGAACACCAGUGGCGAAGGCGACCACCUGGACUGAUACUGACACUGAGGUGCGAAAGCGUGGGGAGCAAAACAGGAUUAGAUACCCUGGUAGUCCACGCCGUAAACGAUGUCAACUAGCCGUUGGAAUCCUUGAGAUUUUAGUGGCGCAGCUAACGCAUUAAGUUGACCGCCUGGGGAGUACGGCCGCAAGGUUAAAACUCAAAUGAAUUGACGGGGGCCCGCACAAGCGGUGGAGCAUGUGGUUUAAUUCGAAGCAACGCGAAGAACCUUACCAGGCCUUGACAUGCAGAGAACUUUCCAGAGAUGGGAUUGGUGCCUUCGGGAACUCUGACACAGGUGCUGCAUGGCUGUCGUUCAGCUCGUGUCGUGAGAUGUUGGGUUAAGUCCCGUUAACGAGCGCACCCCUUGGUCCUUAGGUUACCAGCACGUUAUGGUGGGCCACCUCUAAGGAGACUGCCGGUGACAAACCGAAGGAAGGUGGGGAAUGACGUCAAGUCAUUCAUGGGCCCUUA
This 1181-nucleotide ribosomal RNA is filed under the name bacterium. RNAcentral describes it as "bacterial SSU rRNA". It matches the Rfam family "Bacterial small subunit ribosomal RNA", at positions 37 to 1204 of the family's 1533-position model. The record is from RNAcentral.